Molecule: ribosomal RNA, 465 nt
Filed under: uncultured Klebsiella sp.
Lineage: Bacteria; Pseudomonadati; Pseudomonadota; Gammaproteobacteria; Enterobacterales; Enterobacteriaceae
Description: bacterial SSU rRNA
Rfam family: Bacterial small subunit ribosomal RNA
Source: RNAcentral
CCUACGGGUGGCUGCAGUGGGGAAUAUUGCACAAUGGGCGCAAGCCUGAUGCGGCCAUGCCGCGUGUGUGAAGAAGGCCUUCGGGUUGUAAAGCACUUUCAGCGGGGAGGAAGGCGUUAAGGUUAAUAACCUUGUCGAUUGACGUUACCCGCAGAAGAAGCACCGGCUAACUCCGUGCCAGCAGCCGCGGUAAUACGGAGGGUGCAAGCGUUAAUCGGAAUUACUGGGCGUAAAGCGCACGCAGGCGGUCUGUCAAGUCGGAUGUGAAAUCCCCGGGCUCAACCUGGGAACUGCAUUCGAAACUGGCAGGCUAGAGUCUUGUAGAGGGGGGUAGAAUGCCAGGUGUAGCGGUGAAAUGCGUAGAGAUCUGGAGGAAUACCGGUGGCGAAGGCGGCCCCCUGGACAAAGACUGACGCUCAGGUGCGAAAGCGUGGGGAGCAAACAGGAUUAGAUACCCCAGUAGUC